CCGGGGAAAGCUGACAGUCACUGCUGGCUGAGGCUGCGGGCUUAGGAAGCCGGCGUGGUGUAUCAGCUGUGCCUUCAGCCGGCUCCAGAGGUUGAAGUUCUGUUGCCCGUUUUCCUACAAACACUGUCUCUUCACCCCACGGCAACCCCUGCUUCCGAUCCAGAAAGCAGCAACAGCGAAAUGAUCCGGCGUUCUCUGCCGUCUUUACAUGCAGAGCGGGGAGAAGAGGGACGCAAAGCACCGUGAAAAGAGAUUCGUUCCCCUCAUUUUUUCUGUUAUCCUAAAAACCCGAGGAUUUUAGGGUUUUACUGCCCUGCUUCUUAGAGAUGUGGAAACUGAGAAUCCAUAAGAUUGAGAAGCCUGUCCGAGGACACAGAAGCUGUUCCACACCCUCAGACCCUGUCACAUGGCUCUCAGUGGCAGUCGG
Bos indicus x Bos taurus (hybrid cattle) is the source of this 427-nucleotide long non-coding RNA. Lineage: Eukaryota; Metazoa; Chordata; Mammalia; Artiodactyla; Bovidae. The record is from Ensembl.